ACAGGGAUUGCCCUAGUAACGGCGAGUGAAGCGGCAACAGCUCAAAUUUGAAAUCUGGCGUCUUUGGCGUCCGAGUUGUAAUUUGCAGAGGGCGCUUUGGCAUUGGCAGCGGUCCAAGUUCCUUGGAACAGGACGUCACAGAGGGUGAGAAUCCCGUACGUGGUCGCUAGCCUUUACCGUGUAAAGCCCCUUCGACGAGUCGAGUUGUUUGGGAAUGCAGCUCUAAAUGGGAGGUAAAUUUCUUCUAAAGCUAAAUACUGGCCAGAGACCGAUAGCGCACAAGUAGAGUGAUCGAAAGAUGAAAAGCACUUUGGAAAGAGAGUUAAAAAGCACGUGAAAUUGUUGAAAGGGAAGCGCUUGCAGCCAGACUUGCCUGUAGUUGCUCAUCCGGGUUUCUACCCGGUGCACUCUUCUAUAGGCAGGCCAGCAUCAGUUUGGGCGGUUGGAUAAAGGUCUCUGUCAUGUACCUCUCUUCGGGGAGAACUUAUAGGGGAGACGACAUGCAACCAGCCUGGACUGAGGUCCGCGCAUCUGCUAGGAUGCUGGCGUAAUGGCUGUAAGCGGCCCGUCUUGAAACACGGACCAAGGAGUCUAACAUCUAUGCGAGUGUUUGGGUGUCAAGCCCGAGCGCGUAAUGAAAGUGAACGGAGGUGGGAACCUUUCGGGGUGCACCAUCGACCGAUCCUGAUGUCUUCGGAUGGAUUUGAGUAAGAGCAUAGCUGUUGGGACCCGAAAGAUGGUGAACUAUGCUUGAAUAGGGUGAAGCCAGAGGAAACUCUGGUGGAGGCUCGCAGCGGUUCUGACGUGCAAAUCGAUCGUCAAAUUUGGGCAUAGGGGCGAAAGACUAAUCGAACUAUCUAGUAGCUGGUUCCUGCCGAAGUUUCCCUCAGGAUAGCAGUAACGUUUUCAGUUUUAUGAGGUAAAGCGAAUGAUUAGAGGCCUGGGGGUUGAAACAACCUU
RNAcentral lists this ribosomal RNA (960 nucleotides) under Ascochyta lentis. RNAcentral's name for it is "partial large subunit ribosomal RNA". It matches the Rfam family "Eukaryotic large subunit ribosomal RNA", at positions 68 to 1048 of the family's 3401-position model. Lineage: Eukaryota; Fungi; Ascomycota; Dothideomycetes; Pleosporales; Didymellaceae. RNAcentral also lists the same sequence under 11 other names. The record is from RNAcentral.